GACGAACGCUGGCGGCGUGCCUAAUACAUGCAAGUCGAACGAACCGCGACUAAGUGCUUGCACUAAGUCAAGGUGAGUGGCGAACGGGUGAGUAACACGUGGGUAACCUACCUCAUAGUGGGGGAUAACAGUCGGAAACGACUGCUAAUACCGCAUAGGACAUAGGAUCACAUGAUCCAGUGAGGAAAGGUGGCGCAAGCUAUCGCUAAGAGAUGGACCCGCGGUGCAUUAGCUAGUUGGUAGGGUAAAGGCCUACCAAGGCGAUGAUGCAUAGCCGACCUGAGAGGGUGAUCGGCCACAUUGGGACUGAGACACGGCCCAAACUCCUACGGGAGGCAGCAGUAGGGAAUCUUCCGCAAUGGACGCAAGUCUGACGGAGCAACGCCGCGUGAGUGAAGAAGGUCUUCGGAUCGUAAAGCUCUGUUGCUAGAGAAGAACAGCGCAUAGAGUAACUGCUAUGCGUGUGACGGUAUCUAACCAGAAAGCCACGGCUAACUACGUG
This 502-nucleotide ribosomal RNA is filed under the name uncultured bacterium. RNAcentral's name for it is "partial 16S ribosomal RNA". It matches the Rfam family "Bacterial small subunit ribosomal RNA", at positions 28 to 507 of the family's 1533-position model. The record is from RNAcentral.